RNAcentral lists this ribosomal RNA (429 nucleotides) under Gemmatimonadota bacterium. Its description in RNAcentral is "Gemmatimonadetes bacterium partial 16S ribosomal RNA". It matches the Rfam family "Bacterial small subunit ribosomal RNA", at positions 355 to 776 of the family's 1533-position model. The record is from RNAcentral. Lineage: Bacteria; Pseudomonadati; Gemmatimonadota.
UAGGGAAUCUUCGGCAAUGGACGAAAGUCUGACCGAGCAACGCCGCGUGAGUGAAGAAGGUUUUCGGAUCGUAAAACUCUGUUGUUAGAGAAGAACAAGGACGUUAGUAACUGAACGUCCCCUGACGGUAUCUAACCAGAAAGCCACGGCUAACUACGUGCCAGCAGCCGCGGUAAUACGUAGGUGGCAAGCGUUCUCCGGAUUUAUUGGGCGUAAAGCGAGCGCAGGCGGUUUCUUAAGUCUGGUGUGAAAGCCCCCGGCUCAACCGGGGAGGGUCAUUGGAAACUGGGAGACUUGAGUGCAGAAGAGGAGAGUGGAAUUCCAUGUGUAGCGGUGAAAUGCGUAGAUAUAUGGAGGAACACCAGUGGCGAAGGCGGCUCUCUGGUCUGUAACUGACGCUGAGGCUCGAAAGCGUGGGGAGCAAACAGG